CCUACGGGUGGCAGCAGUGAGGAAUAUUGGUCAAUGGACGAGAGUCUGAACCAGCCAAGUAGCGUGAAGGAUGACUGCCCUAUGGGUUGUAAACUUCUUUUAUAUGGGAAUAAAAUGUUCCACGUGUGGGUUUUUGUAUGUACCAUAUGAAUAAGGAUCGGCUAACUCCGUGCCAGCAGCCGCGGUAAUACGGAGGAUCCGAGCGUUAUCCGGAUUUAUUGGGUUUAAAGGGAGCGUAGAUGGAUUGUUAAGUCAGUUGUGAAAGUUUGCGGCUCAACCGUAAAAUUGCAGUUGAAACUGGCAGUCUUGAGGACAGUAGAGGUGGGCGGAAUGCGUGGUGUAGCGGUGAAAUGCUUAGAUAUCACGAAGAACUCCGAUUGCGAAGGCAGCUCACUGGACUGCAACUGACACUGAGGCUCGAAAGUGUGGGUAUCAAACAGGAUUAGAUACCCUAGUAGUC
This 460-nucleotide ribosomal RNA is filed under the name uncultured bacterium. RNAcentral describes it as "partial 16S ribosomal RNA". It matches the Rfam family "Bacterial small subunit ribosomal RNA", at positions 338 to 795 of the family's 1533-position model. The record is from RNAcentral.